Molecule: long non-coding RNA, 222 nt
Filed under: Elaeis guineensis (African oil palm)
Lineage: Eukaryota; Viridiplantae; Streptophyta; Magnoliopsida; Arecales; Arecaceae
Description: long non-coding RNA (EGUI_LNC002831)
Source: RNAcentral
AUGAAUUAGAAGCUAGGCUAAGCAUAUGUGUAUGGCUAUCCAAGACUAUCUCUUAUAUGGGUUGGCUGAAUCCCAUAAAAAGAAAAAAUGACCUUAACAGGUCAUUUUUUUUUCUCAUUAUAAAAUUCAGGCCAGUCUACUCUAAAGGCCUCUAGGUAUUGAGAAUAUGAGUAAUUCUUUGUGCACUGUGUGUGGUGCAAUAAAAUUGACAUGGAGCACACC